UGCAAGUCGAACGGCAGCACGGGUGCUUGCACCUGGUGGCGAGUGGCGAACGGGUGAGUAAUACAUCGGAACAUGUCCUGUAGUGGGGGAUAGCCCGGCGAAAGCCGGAUUAAUACCGCAUACGAUCUACGGAUGAAAGCGGGGGACCUUCGGGCCUCGCGCUAUAGGGUUGGCCGAUGGCUGAUUAGCUAGUUGGUGGGGUAAAGGCCUACCAAGGCGACGAUCAGUAGCUGGUCUGAGAGGACGACCAGCCACACUGGGACUGAGACACGGCCCAGACUCCUACGGGAGGCAGCAGUGGGGAAUUUUGGACAAUGGGCGAAAGCCUGAUCCAGCAAUGCCGCGUGUGUGAAGAAGGCCUUCGGGUUGUAAAGCACUUUUGUCCGGAAAGAAAUCCUUGGUUCUAAUAUAGCCGGGGGAUGACGGUACCGGAAGAAUAAGCACCGGCUAACUACGUGCCAGCAGCCGCGGUAAUACGUAGGGUGCAAGCGUUAAUCGGAAUUACUGGGCGUAAAGCGUGCGCAGGCGGUUUGUUAAGACCGAUGUGAAAUCCCCGGGCUCAACCUGGGAACUGCAUUGGUGACUGGCAAGCUAGAGUAUGGCAGAGGGGGGUAGAAUUCCACGUGUAGCAGUGAAAUGCGUAGAGAUGUGGAGGAAUACCGAUGGCGAAGGCAGCCCCCUGGGCCAAUACUGACGCUCAUGCACGAAAGCGUGGGGGAGCAAACAGGAUUAGAUACCCUGGUAGUCCACGCCCUAAACGAUGUCAACUAGUUGUUGGGGAUUCAUUUCCUUAGUAACGUAGCUAACGCGUGAAGUUGACCGCCUGGGGAGUACGGUCGCAAGAUUAAAACUCAAAGGAAUUGACGGGGACCCGCACAAGCGGUGGAUGAUGUGGAUUAAUUCGAUGCAACGCGAAAAACCUUACCUACCCUUGACAUGGUCGGAAUCCCGCUGAGAGGUGGGAGUGCUCGAAAGAGAACCGGCGCACAGGUGCUGCAUGGCUGUCGUCAGCUCGUGUCGUGAGAUGUUGGGUUAAGUCCCGCAACGAGCGCAACCCUUGUCCUUAGUUGCUACGCAAGAGCACUCUAAGGAGACUGCCGGUGACAAACCGGAGGAAGGUGGGGAUGACGUCAAGUCCUCAUGGCCCUUAUGGGUAGGGCUUCACACGUCAUACAAUGGUCGGAACAGAGGGUUGCCAACCCGCGAGGGGGAGCUAAUCCCAGAAAACCGAUCGUAGUCCGGAUUGCACUCUGCAACUCGAGUGCAUGAAGCUGGAAUCGCUAGUAAUCGCGGAUCAGCAUGCCGCGGUGAAUACGUUCCCGGGUCUUGUACACACCGCCCGUCACACCAUGGGAGUGGGUUUUACCAGAAGUGGCUAGUCUAACCGCAAGGAGGACGGUCACC
This 1404-nucleotide ribosomal RNA is filed under the name Burkholderia sp. CZR1. Its description in RNAcentral is "bacterial SSU rRNA". It matches the Rfam family "Bacterial small subunit ribosomal RNA". Lineage: Bacteria; Pseudomonadati; Pseudomonadota; Betaproteobacteria; Burkholderiales; Burkholderiaceae. The record is from RNAcentral.